Molecule: long non-coding RNA, 420 nt
Filed under: Oreochromis niloticus (Nile tilapia)
Lineage: Eukaryota; Metazoa; Chordata; Actinopteri; Cichliformes; Cichlidae
Description: lncRNA (ENSONIG00000036331.1)
Source: RNAcentral
AUGUUUUGGCACAAAUACUUUGAUUUGGUAUACUUUAGCUUCUUCACCCUUGUCAGCAACAUUUUCAUUUUUUCACCACUUUUCAGCACAAAUUCCAGCUUUUUUGGCCGUUUUCAGAAAAAAAAACUCUUUUCAGCAGAAACUCUGCUGAUUCACCUCUUUUCAGCGCAACGUUCUGCUUCUUUGCCUCUUUUCUACAGAAAUUCUGCUGAUUCACCUCUUUUCUGCAAAAUUUUCAUCCUUUUUGCCUCUUAUCAGCACAGUUCUCAGCAGCUUCUACACAUCAUCCCCACUUGCAUGCACUCUGCUUUCACCUCUUUUCUGCAAAAUUUUCAGCCUUUUCACCUCUUAUCAGCACAAUUGUCAGCAGCUUCUGCUCAUUUCAGCAGAAUUGUCCGUCUCUCCACCUCUUCUUUGUAA